This 434-nucleotide ribosomal RNA is filed under the name uncultured Clostridium sp. RNAcentral's name for it is "partial 16S ribosomal RNA". It matches the Rfam family "Bacterial small subunit ribosomal RNA", at positions 341 to 792 of the family's 1533-position model. Lineage: Bacteria; Bacillati; Bacillota; Clostridia; Eubacteriales; Clostridiaceae. The record is from RNAcentral.
ACGGGAGGCAGCAGUGGGGAAUAUUGCACAAUGGGGGAAACCCUGAUGCAGCGACGCCGCGUGAGUGAAGAAGUAUUUCGGUAUGUAAAGCUCUAUCAGCAGGGAAGAUAAUGACGGUACCUGACUAAGAAGCCCCGGCUAACUACGUGCCAGCAGCCGCGGUAAUACGUAGGGGGCGAGCGUUGUCCGGAAUGACUGGGCGUAAAGGGCGUGUAGGCGGCACUGUAAGUCUGGAGUGAAAGUCCUGCUUUCAAGGCGGGAAUUGCUUUGGAGACUGCAGAGCUUGAGUGCAGAAGAGGUAAGCGGAAUUCCCUGUGUAGCGGUGAAAUGCGUAGAGAUAGGGAGGAACACCAGUGGCGAAGGCGGCUUACUGGGCUGUAACUGACGCUGAGGCGCGAAAGCGUGGGGAGCGAACAGGAUUAGAUACCCUGGUA